Non-coding RNA from Cyanistes caeruleus (blue tit), 2836 nucleotides. The record is from RefSeq and is a predicted model, not a curated record. Lineage: Eukaryota; Metazoa; Chordata; Aves; Passeriformes; Paridae.
AGGGGGACGGGAGGGACCUUGAGCGGCGAGCGAGGUGUGGAGAAAAGGCGCUGGGGUGAAGUGUGUUCUGGUCCCGGCGGUGGAGCAAGGAGCUUGACGGUGUUCUGAAUUGCUACAAUGAGAGGUAGCUCCCAAACCUUCUCUAGCGGAGCUUGUCUUACUCGCUCUUCACACAUGAUCCAGCUUCCCCAAACAAAAUUCCAAAUGAAAAGCAGAACGUAUUCUACAAGCAUAAAUUUUGUAAAUAUGUUAUCUGCUAGUUAUAUGGUGGGUUUGUGUAAUUCUUGGGCUUUUUUUACACCUGUGGCAUGACUUAUUGAAGACACUGGUUUGGUUUGAGUUUUGGGGAUUUUUUUUCACAACGUAUUGAAGAAAUUAUUCAUGUGGUAGCAGGCAACAGAUUGCAUUUUAAAUUAGGAGCAAACAAAACGUUGCAAUCUUUCCUGAAAGAAGACUAAAGGGGUUGCCAUGGAAAUUGUUCUAAUUCGUGAUCCACUACAACAACAAACAUUUAAUUUGUGAUUUUUUCGUUCUAAAUCUAGAUCUCAUCAGAAUCUUGCAAAGACAGUCAAGAGUACGGCAUUAUGUUUUCAUAGACUUCAUAAAUUUAUUAUUUUCUCAUAGUUUUAAAAAAUGGAACCUCUAAAUUUAGAUUUAAACAGCUCUGAAGUUUGAGGUAGUUCAUGUCAUGGUGAACUUUUAGCUAAAAUCCUUGUUUUAUUAAAAGAGGAGUUUGUGCAGUGGUGGAAAAAACAAUAUUAUUCCAGAAAUAUGCAGCUAAUUUUCAUCUUUGUUGCCGUGCCAUUCCAUGCAAUAGAAGAUAUUUUAAGAAGUAUAUUGACAUUAAAUAGUUAAUCUUUGAACCUAUGUUUAAAAGAUCUGUGCUUGAGAGCUCAGGCUGUAGCCUGGAGCCACAUUUCUUACGCAGCCUUUGUACAACCUUGCAUUAUAAAAAAUUUACUCAAGAAUAAAUUUUCAUGGCAACAGCAAUAUUGCAGAUUUUUUUUCCAAUUAAUUAAUUGCAUAUUGCUUUUGUUUAUUCACUAUACCGUGAUAGCAAUUAUCAUUCCUCUUCUGCAAUGUGGGGCUUUCAAAAAUUUCAAAAAUGCCCAUUUAGAGAUUUGAAAGCCUACAUUUCACAUUCCAGUUGUGUUUUCUGGGGUAAGGUCAAUUGAGAAGAAGAAUUUUAGUUGACAGUUGGGUUUUUUUAAGUAAAAUCUAAACUUCCAUUACUGGUUAGAUAGAAAGUUAUUAUUUCCAAUAGAGAAGAAAUAUUAACAAGAAAGCAUUUUGAGCAUAGAUUUUUAAAUAGAUCAAUUUCCUCCUCUGAGGAAAUGAGAAGAAUUGAUUUUAAAUAAGGAUAUUUAAGAUGGGAAGUUUUUCACCAGAAAACACAGCAUGUUGUUGGAAAAGUAAUUGCAAUAUUUGCCUUAAAGUCCAAUUAUAAAACUAAUCCAAACAUCAGCCUUUUAUUUUGUUAUUUUCAUUAGGAACUGACUUCAUUUUACUGAAAUAUUAUUUUUUUAAAAAAAAUCUAACAGAACUUGUUCAUUUCCACAUUGAGUUUUUAUAUUUAUUUGCAUUAUAUUGCCUAUAGUAGCAAUAUAGAUAACACUUCAGUAUCAUAAAAUUGGGCAUUAAAGAAAAAUAUGGGUAUACACUACUUUCAUAAAGCAUUAAUUCAGCUUUCCUGUGGGUGGACCUCAUUAAAGUCUGUGGUAGGGGCAUGCUAAUGUUUGCAAAAUGGCAUGUAGCAGCUGUAGGAAUCUCUGGACCCUUGUUAUUAUAAAGAGUACUACUUUCCACAAAAAACCUCUUUGAAUUCAGUGAAUUGUUUAUUUGAGUAAGUUUUUUGGCAUCAGAUAACUCGUGUAGUAUGCUAGUAGUUUAUUUAUCUGUUCAUUCUUUUCUUAUAUUUAUCUGCAGUCUAAAAGCAUUUAAAUCCCCAGACUAUUUUUUCAAAGUUAUAUUGAUGGUUUACCUUUUGAAAAACAGCAAUUACAUUGUAGUACAUUAAAAAAAUCUACAUUUUUGAAAAGACUUCUAAAUACAGUCAGCUAAAGUGUAAUUUUAAAAACAUGUGCAACUGGAAUCUGCAAUUUCAACAAUAGCUGUAAUUUUAUUUGUAAUUUGCAGACUGCCCGAGGUACAAAAGAGGUCUUACUCUUUUAAAGUCUAAAGGACUUCAAGACAAAAAAAGCAGUUCAACUGCAACGAUAUCAUUUCAAAAAUAAAUUUGGACACAGCACGUUCUUCCAUCUGCAGCCCAGAGCCAAGGAGCAUCCCAUAAGUCUGGACCAAACAGUGCCAGUACGAGACGCUGGCUCUGUUCAGUGCCAGUCUGCGUGGAGCACCCCAGAAACAGCACGGAGAAGACCAAGGGGUGGCCUUCAGUGUGGUGUUGGUAGAAGAGGGCAGAACUAAUAUCACUUCAGUGCUGAGCCAGUGACACUUAAUGAGGCCCUUCAAGUUAUGCUGGACCUUCAAAUGAAGAGCAAGAACAACAGAGUCUGUUAAAAGUAUGUUUUGCUUCCUUCCCUCUCAGAUGAGCAGGACAAAAAAGCUUACAACUCCAGUUUUGAUGUAUUUACUGACUUACACAAGAUGGCCAUUAGCGUUGAUCAGAGGCAAUUUUUUCUGGUUUUGUUCAAUUUCUUUCUAAAAUGUUGUCAUUUACGAAGAGAUAAACAGUCUGUAAAUGUAAAUCCAUAGGUUUUUUUACAGUUCUUACAUAAACAACUAAGGCCUCUCAAAUCACUGAAGGUCAUUAAAAUUUAAUGCUGUGUAAAGUUCAGUGAUCAAUGUAUCCAUUUAGUAAACAUACCUUUUUGUACAA